AAACACCCAAGCCCCGCUUGGUGAUGGAGGCGGCUCUCGCCGUCGUCCGCAAUCCGUCGGCUGCGGCGCCCUUCCGUGAAAGUAGUGAGACACAUCUUUCUGCGGAUGUCUGGCGAGCCCUGCAGGCCCAACGAAACCCCACUUAA
RNAcentral lists this unclassified non-coding RNA (146 nucleotides) under uncultured Dothideomycetes. RNAcentral's name for it is "sequence contains ITS2". The record is from RNAcentral. Lineage: Eukaryota; Fungi; Ascomycota; Dothideomycetes.